CUGAGUGGCAGACGGGUGAGUAACAUGUGGGAAUCUGCCUUGUGGUUCAGGACAACAUUGGGAAACCGAUGCUAAUACUGGAUAAGCCCUUACGGGGAAAGUUUUAAUGCCAUAAGAUGAGCCCGCAUUUGAUUAGUUAGUUGGUGAGGUAAUGGCUCACCAAGACAAUGAUCAAUAGCUGAUCUGAGAGGAUGAUCAGCCACACUGGGACUGAGACACGGCCCAGACUCCUACGGGAGGCAGCAGUGGGGAAUCUUGCACAAUGGAGGAAACUCUGAUGCAGCGAUGCCGCGUGAGUGAAGAAGGCCUUUGGGUUGUAAAGCUCUUUUGUAGGGGAAGAUAAUGACUGUACCCUAAGAAUAAGGUCCGGCUAACUUCGUGCCAGCAGCCGCGGUAAUACGAAGGGACCUAGCGUAGUUCGGAAUUACUGGGCGUAAAGCGCGCGUAGGCCGUUGAGUUAGUUAAUUGUGAAAUCCCAAAGCUUAACUUUGGAACUGCAAUUAAAACUGCUCGACUAGAGUUUGAUAGAGGAAAGCGGAAUACAUAGUGUAGAGGUGAAAUUCGUAGAUAUUAUGUAGAACACCAGUUGCGAAGGCGGCUUUCUGGAUCAACACUGACGCUGAGGCGCGAAAGUAUGGGUAGCAAAGAGGAUUAGAUACCCUCGUAGUCCAUACCAUAAACGAUGAUUGCUAGAUGUUGGAAAUUUAUUUUCAGUAUCGCAGCUAACGCAUUAAGCAAUCCGCCUGGGGAGUACGACCGCAAGGUUAAAACUCAAAUGAA
This 780-nucleotide ribosomal RNA is filed under the name uncultured bacterium. RNAcentral's name for it is "bacterial SSU rRNA". It matches the Rfam family "Bacterial small subunit ribosomal RNA", at positions 91 to 909 of the family's 1533-position model. The record is from RNAcentral.